This is a long non-coding RNA of Rattus norvegicus (Norway rat), 2446 nucleotides long. Ensembl annotates it as p53 and DNA damage regulated 1. Its record names the gene Pdrg1. Lineage: Eukaryota; Metazoa; Chordata; Mammalia; Rodentia; Muridae. The record is from Ensembl.
GCUUCGUAGACCCGAAAGGGGUGCUUGGCUCUGGUUCUGUGGUAAGUAGUCCCUAAAGGGAGUUCGUCCUGGGGAUGUUAUCAUUGAAUAGUGACUGAUAGAUUGAUCGGUUGGUUUAGACUAAACUUUAGAGGAUCUCAUGUAUCUCAGACUUCUCGAACUCACUGUGUCGCCUAAGACAGCCUUGAACAACCCGUGGUAUGUCCUUGUCAGUGUCCUGAGUUCUGGGAUUACAGGUGUGCAUUUAGAUUUUAAAAGUCUCUCUCUGGCUCCUUCCUAGAGUGCAGCGAGCCAUUUAGCUGAUCCAGAUGAUCUGGAUUUAGACAAGAUGGGAAUGAUGGGGUGAGACAUAUACUUGGUGGUCUUCAGAAGCUACCAUAAUGACCGUAAUGACUCUUCGUGAUCUAUAUUUGAAAAGGCUUGAUGGUUCACUAGCUGCAGCCCCAGAAAGUCGCCUCUUGAGCAGUUAGUUGUCAUAGUGGUACGGUGCAACAGCUGCUCCAGUCCAGUAUGGUUGAAUGUCUGGUGAGACUGUCAGAGUUACUUAACAAGAGCUUGUCAAUAGUCACUGUCUAGAGGAGACACUCAACUAACUCCCUGGUGACCCCGGUAUACUCUCAAGUUUGAGUGGAUGAUACAAAGUGGCUCAAUCUGCAAACAUUUUCCCACCACCUUCUGUGGAGGAGGAAAGCUCCAUACAAACAGAGGAGCUGGAAACCAAGUGGGUAAAGAAGAACGUUCACACCUGAGUCGUCCAUGUCAGGCAAGACAUUGGAACUUCACCAGAAACGAUACCUUGUUUCUUCAGAUUGGGGCAGGAGGCAGCUGAGUUCCCAUCUGCUCCUGUUUUCAGAUUGUAGACCUGGACACCAAGAGGAAUCAGAACCGAGAGGGCCUGAGGGCCCUACAGAAAGACCCGAGUGUCUCUGAAGACGUGAUGGUUUGCUUUGGGAACAUGUUCAUCAAAAUGCCUCACCUUAAGACGAAGGAAAUGAUCCAGAAAGAUCAGGAGCACCUGGAUAAAGAAAUAGAAAGGCUGCGGAGCCAACUGAAAGUGAAAGUUAACCGCCUCCUAGAAGCCCAAGGAAAACCGGAGCUAAAGGGUUUUAACCUGAACCCCCUCAACCAGGAUGAGCUUAAAGCCCUCCAGGUCAUCUUGAAAGGAUGAGACUCACAGCAGGAUGGGGACCUGUGACUAGGACCCUCCCCAGCCUUGAGACCUGCAAGGACAGGAUUGUCUGGUCAAGGGGACAGGCAUAAGGAAUGUGGCUUCUGUACAAAAUCCUUUUCUGUGGUGCUUGGCUGCUUUGUGACAAGAGAGAACCCUUAGUCUGUUCUGUGGGCUUGGCCUGGCCACCAGAGCUUAGACACAAGCUCUAUUGACAACCCUGGCAGCUGUCAGCAGGUGUGUGGGUGUGUGAGAAUGUCUGCAGCCGACACUUCUCAACAGUAGCCUGCUGUUCACAUGGGCCUGGCUAGGGAUGGAGGAGAGGGCGGACGGGGAGCUCCAUUCCAGGUUUCUGCACAGUGAGGCAUUUCAGGCAGUUUGUGUAGCAACUGGAAUAAAGCAGGAGAUUGACAGUUCACUUCUGUGUGAAGCAGACCUAGUACUCCUCACCAGCUGCAGGGUAGACACAUUCAUUUCCCCACUGCUCCAGUUCUGCCCUCCCCGACCCCCCAAAUCCCCCAACCCCCACUGGCUUUCUGCAGUAGGUGCUGCCAGUCAUCCUGUGAUUGCUCCUGAGGUAGGAGUUCUGGCCCGGGGCCGCCAAGCAGUGCCCUUCCUGAUGUGACUCGACGUGGAAUAUCCUCCUGACCUCUGAGAGCAGGGCCUGGCUGGCUAGCUGGCUUGAGAUUACAGUGUGCGUGGUAUGAGAGCAAAGCUGGCCUCUGUUCCCUGCAGCUCGAUAAAAGCUGAACAAACCACAGCUCUGAGUUGUCACCUCAUUCUGUCCUUCACCAAGGGUCCCGCCCUUCUAGAGUGCUACCUAAGAAAUGGUGGCUCUUGCCUUAAAGUGUGUAACAUCAGGAAUAGACAGACCACUAUCUGCUACCCUCACCACAUUUGGCCCAUAGUUACACCAGAAAGGAGCUGGUGUAACUAUCAAGUUUCUUGAAAGAAGGGGGUGGAGAGGUGGCCCUGGGGUUAAGAGCAUUUGCCAUUUUCAGAGGACUAAGUUAAGUUCCCAGUCCUACAUACUAGCUUGUAACCAUCCAUAACUCCAGUUCUAGGGAAUUGACACCUUCUAUUCUCCACAGGCAUACACAGUACAUGUACACACAUGUGCAUACAUGCAGAAUGCCCAUACAAAUCUUUAAAAAUGAACUAGUCAGGUAUGGUGGUGUACACCAUUAAUCCCAGCACUUGGGAGACAGAAGUAGGUGGAAAUUUCUAUUUCCAAUUGUCAUGCACACUGCCCGAGUUCAAGGCUAGACUGGUCUACGG